Non-coding RNA from Telopea speciosissima, 72 nucleotides. Lineage: Eukaryota; Viridiplantae; Streptophyta; Magnoliopsida; Proteales; Proteaceae. The record is from the annotation of a RefSeq genome assembly.
GGGCCCAUAGCUCAGUGGUUGAGCAAUUGAUUGCAAAUCAAAAGGUCACUGGUUCGAUCCCAGUUGGGCCCU